Molecule: ribosomal RNA, 503 nt
Filed under: uncultured bacterium
Lineage: Bacteria
Description: bacterial SSU rRNA
Rfam family: Bacterial small subunit ribosomal RNA
Source: RNAcentral
AUGGCUCAGGACUGAACGCUAGCUACAGGCUUAACACAUGCAAGUCGAGGGGAAACGACAGGGAGUGCUUGCACACGUCUGGGCGACGACCGGCGCACGGGUGAGUAACGCGUAUCCAACCUGCCCACCACUUGGGAAUAACCUUGCGAAAGUAAGACUAAUACCCGAUGAUAUCUCUAGACGACAUCUGAAAGGGAUUAAAGAUUUAUCGGUGAUGGAUGGGGAUGCGUCUGAUUAGCUUGUUGGCGGGGUAACGGCCCACCAAGGCGACGAUCAGUAGGGGUUCUGAGAGGAAGGUCCCCCACAUUGGAACUGAGACACGGUCCAAACUCCUACGGGAGGCAGCAGUGAGGAAUAUUGGUCAAUGGGCGAGAGCCUGAACCAGCCAAGUAGCGUGCAGGAUGACGGCCCUAUGGGUUGUAAACUGCUUUUAUGCGGGGAUAAAGUGGGGGAUGCAUCCCUUUUUGCAGGUACCGCAUGAAUAAGGACCGGCUAAUUCCGUG